GAACCUCCAUAUGACAAGAGCAUGGCCCUAAAAAGACAAAAAAGAAAAAAGGAAAGGCAGUAUAGACUAGUGGUUGAGAAUACCAACCCAAGGGGGCUAGACUGUAGUUGGCACCCCAGUUCAUCGAUUUACAUUAGUCAGAUACCUUAGGUUUUAAUUAUUUGUGUUUCACUCUCCUUGUCUGAAAAAAAUACUUGACUCAUAGGAUUGUGGGGAGAAUUAAAAGAGCUAAUGUAUAGAAAGCACUUAGAGCUUUGUUUGGCACAUGGUAACAGUAUUUGUUGCUGUUGUUGCUAAACUGCAUUGUAGCCAUGCCUGCAGGAAGGAAAAACUAUGGACUGGGGUCUGAUAACUCCCUGAGGGAAAAAUACUGACAUCUCAGAGUUUCUUUCUUGUUGGUGCCACAGCCCUUGUCAGUUAGGUUAUGCUCUAUGCAGAUCUCUAGGUGAUCUUGUAUAUAAUAGUUGUGCCAUAUUCUGGGGCAACUGAGUUCACUGAUUUUCAGCAUCCAACUGGCAGGUAAGGAAAAAGGUUUGUUCGCUCAGGAAUUCUUAGAGAACAGACCUUCUUCCACAUUCCCACGUUCCCACGUUUCAUCAGCUUCAUUACUUCUCCCACAUUUCAUUGGCCAAAGCUGGUGACACGGCCCCACCCAACUGCAGAGGAAACUGGGAAAUGUAGUUUAGCUCUGUGCCCAGGGAGCAGAGAACAGGGAGAUUGGUCAGACGGUGGAUAAACCAAUAGCAAAUCGAUGAUUUUGACUUUGGUUUAUGGUUUCCCUAUGAAGCAUCAGCAUUUUUCGGUUUAAUUUUAAGAAUUAAUGGGAAGAUCUACUCCCUUUUUGGUACACAACACUUAAAUGCUAAUGUUCAUGCACAACAUCAGCUCCGUUGUCUUUCCUGAGUAAAAUAAUAAUAAAAACUAGCAUCUAUGAAGCAUUUACUGUAUACCAUCAUACUAAGCACUUUGCAUGUUAAUUUUAUCAUGUUUAGUAAGAUGAAAUUAAUUUAUUCAGAAUCCACUACAGCCCUUAUGAGGGAGGUACCAGAGUUGUUGGCAUUCGAUGGAUGAAGAAACAGAAUUACAAGGAAGCCAUUAAUCCAAAUGGAAAAAAAAAUGUGAAUUUAUAAGGAAUCACAGGAUUAACAGAGAUUAACAAAAUUGGAUAGAGAGCAAAUUUAAAGUCGUCAACUCCUUUCUUCAUAGGAGACCAAAUCUAGAUACAUAGCAGAAGAUACUUCGUCCAGUAUGGGGUGUUUCCUCUUCCUGAUACAGCACUCAUUAAAUUGUCAUGAGCUGGGUGGUUUGUCAAGACCUAAUACACCCAUGUGUGGAAAAACACACAUCACUGUGUACUUUAUCCUUUGGUUUAUUUUAGUUUAUUUGCUUAGCUAAACAUGGUGUGUUUAUUAUAAAGUUAACCAUGCAGAUGUUGAAUUAGUCUGAAAAAGUCCCCGUAGUGUCUUAACCUGAUAGCUGUUUUAGAUAUUCCUUGAAAAAUCAGUUAGUUCCCUUCCUUAUAUCAGAGCUUACCAUUUUAAUCAGAGAGGUUAAGUAAUCUGAUGUCACUGGCAUCUGCACUUUAAUCUUUUGAGCAUGGCAUUGUAAAGAAAAAGAUAAAAGCACAAUUCUGUGAGCCCCUCUAAAUGGACAGUAUAAAGACUGAUCUUUGAAUCAGGAGCUUAUUGUCUUAAGAGAUUCUACAUGAUCAGUUAAAAUGAGUCAGCUCUCUGCAAUCUUUAUUAACCUCACAGACUGCAAGUCCCUCUAUGAAACUAAGAUAAGCUUGUAAAAGCACUGAAAAAGCUGAGAUUUAAACAGAUGUCAGAUGGCAGCAGCAGAUGUGUAAUAGUACAAAGGGUUUGGAUAGACAUUGGAAUAGCUGAGUAAUUAGAAUUUCUCUGUGCCAUCGUAUCUACUUAAACACUUUUGGCCAAGCCUGAAGACGACUGGGCAGGUGUCCAGUUGCCUGUGGCCUCAUCUGCCUGUUGAAAAAUCUCAGUAUGGCAGCCAAAUAAGGAAAGCACCUCCUCCUGGAUAUUUGGCUCUAUGGCCAUGGGUUUUUUUCUUUUCCAUACUGCCUAGUUUGGGUUUUAUAAAAAUAUGGGGAGAAAUUGGGCUAACCGUCUAAGCUGUCCACGACUAACAGGUGUUUUAUGCUUUUCACCUCUAGAUCUCAGAUUGUUUUCCACUGCGUAAGGUUAUACUUUUUAUGGAGUUGCCGUCGUGGCACAGCAGAAACGAAUCUGACUAGGAACCAUGAGGUUACGGGUUCAAUCCCUGGCCUUGCUCAGUGGGUUAAGGAUCCAGCCUUGCCAAGAGCUGUGGUAUAGGUCGCAGAUGCGGCUCAGAUCUGGCGCUGCUAUGGCUGUGGUGUAGGCCAGCAGCUGCAGGUCCAAUUAAACCCCUAGCCUCCAUAUGCCGUGGGUGUGGCCCUAAAAAGACAAAAAAAAA
RNAcentral lists this long non-coding RNA (2454 nucleotides) under Sus scrofa (pig). RNAcentral's name for it is "lncRNA (ENSSSCG00015057091.1)". The record is from RNAcentral. Lineage: Eukaryota; Metazoa; Chordata; Mammalia; Artiodactyla; Suidae.